CUCCAGGCAGUUCUGCCACCGCAGGAACAUUCUGCCCAAGGGAUAGUUUCCCCUGCAGCUGAUUCUCGGAGAUCCUGACCAAGCCAAGGGGUUCAAGACAGCUUCUGCAACUUCACAAAGACUGAGACUGGAGGGGGAGGUGGCUUGAAGAGGGCUCCCUCAAGGGCACAGCAGGCCCCAGUGUUUGGUGUUUCCGUACCCCUCUCUCCAGUGCUACUGCCUAGCUCUUGCCCUGAGGCUGGGGCUGGUGGAAGGGAAGUGGGUGGUAGUGUUGAUUCUGCCAGGGCACAACUGUGGGUAUCAUGAGAUUCCCAGGCCAGGGUCUAGAGACAGAGGAUGGGGCUCACUGCCUAUAACUUCAAGGAAGCAAGGGACCAGGGCUGCCUUCAGAGCCAUAGCUGGUGCUGAGAUGGUGUUUAUCAAGUGAACAUGUGACGUGCAGUUUCAGAGGAGAGGGAAAGACUUUUUGUCUCCCCAGAAUACUCCCUUCUAGCUCAGGGAUUCCUACAAUUCAAUUCCAUCGCCAAGUCCAAGGUUCCCUGUGCAGACACCCUGGGAGCUCAGUGGCAGGCGUUCCAUUCACAGGGCGUCAAACAGUUACAGCUGGAGUUUUGCUGCAGCGAGACACGGGGGACCUCAGUGCCCAGCAUACCCCAAAGGUGCAGGCAGAGGUGCAGGAGGAUGCAGAACAGGUGGCUGCCAUCAAACUUGGCCCUCCUUGUGGUUUUACUAAGCAUCAGCCCUAAGCACAGAGACCCAUCUGGGAGCCUACUGGGGUCCUCAAUCUGAUCUGUUCUCUGGAAGGAAACCCCCAGGGCCACUUGCCUUGACCAACUUUUAGAGCAACAGCUAAGCUUUCGGGGGACCAUCCCCAAGUCCUUCCACUGAUGUGAUCUACAGUUGUGAGGGGACAUUUGCCUUGGAGUCCCCAAAAUGCCUUUCCCAAGCAAGUCCCCUCUGAUCUCCAUAGAUUCCCAUUCUUCUCCCCAGCCCCUGCCCGUACACAGGGAACAAACUCCUUUAUUCCCCUGGGAAAGUUUAUACAUUCCACCUCCCUCCUGUUCAGCCCAUCAAAUAGACCAAGUGCCCUCUCCUUCCCUAAAGUGCAGCCAGACAAACACCUCCCAGCCCCUUGGUGCUGCACACAUUCUCCAAGGGAAGCCGGAGGCUGGGGUGCCCAACCACGCACUCCAU
RNAcentral lists this long non-coding RNA (1194 nucleotides) under Homo sapiens (human). RNAcentral's name for it is "HSALNT0158183". Lineage: Eukaryota; Metazoa; Chordata; Mammalia; Primates; Hominidae. The record is from RNAcentral.